CCUACGGGCGACAGCAGUGGGGAAUAUUGCACAAUGGGGGAAACCCUGAUGCAGCGACGCCGCGUGAGUGAAGAAGUAUUUCGGUACGUAAAGCUCUAUCAGCAGGGAAGAAAAUGACGGUACCUGACUAAGAAGCCCCGGCUAACUACGUGCCAGCAGCCGCGGUAAUACGUAGGGGGCAAGCGUUAUCCGGAUUUACUGGGUGUAAAGGGAGCGUAGACGGCAGGGCAAGUCUGUGGUGAAAUCCCAUGGCUUAACCAUGGAACUGCUUUGGAAACUGUGCAGCUAGAGUGCAGGAGAGGUAAGCGGAAUUCCUAGUGUAGCGGUGAAAUGCGUAGAUAUUAGGAGGAACACCAGUGGCGAAGGCGGCUUACUGGACUGUAACUGACGUUGAGGCUCGAAAGCGUGGGGAGCAAACAGGAUUAGAUACCCUAGUAGUC
RNAcentral lists this ribosomal RNA (440 nucleotides) under uncultured bacterium. Its description in RNAcentral is "partial 16S ribosomal RNA". It matches the Rfam family "Bacterial small subunit ribosomal RNA", at positions 338 to 795 of the family's 1533-position model. The record is from RNAcentral.